CUAUUCCAGUUUUGAGUUUUUUUCUUUCGUUUUGCUUUGUCUUCCUUCAUUUUGGGUGGGGACAGAAAACAGCCUCCAGAAGAACAGGAAUUCAGCUGUGAGUCAGAUUGAAACUAGUCCAAGUAUGCCUUAAUGACAAAACAUGCUUUGUUAAAGUGAGUGUCAUUGGGAAGCAGAGGAAGUGUUCCACCUGCUGCUGGUUUGAUUCGUUCUUUCUGAUGAGAAGGAUGAAGAUUGUGUCUGACAGAGCCAAACUUAAAAAAAAAAAAAAAAAAAGCAGAAAAAAAGCUUUGAUGCAAUGCAGUUCAGGUGCUGCUUUUCCAUCCGCCUGCCCACUUAAUUGCCUGGGUGGGAGGGGAGCCCAGCAGCCAGGUGUUGCGGCCCAUGGUGCGUCAGCAAGAAGGCCCGGAGGAGGGAGGAUCAGCCUUUCCGAAUGACGGGGAUUGGGGCUUCCAACCUGCUCGCGAGUUGGCGGAGUAAACCAAACCCAGGUGAUUCACGAGCCGCAGGUUCCCAAUGAAGCGGCGUGGUGAUUGCUCGGGGGGAUUAGAUGGGAGCCCCCCACGGCGCUGGCUCUCCCCCACGAAGUCUCCUCGUCCUCGAAGCCCCUCUGGAAGCCGCGGUCAACGUGUGGGUCGUCGUCACCCCCCGGUCGUGCUGCCUGGCUGCUGAGCGCCUGCGAGAAACGGGCGCCGAAAGCCGUAUUCUGCAAAGCCUGUGAUUCCUCUGGGUUGGUUUAUCUCGGACUCUUCCCUAGGGAGGCUGAUGCUGGCCCGGCUGCGCUCUGGCGUGUCCGGGCUGGUGGGUGGUGGUCAGGAGCUGGGGGCUCUGGGGACGGCGGAAAAGCCCCUUCCCGCGGGAGCGUGCUGGGACGGCGCAGGGGACGCUGGCGCCCAGCGGGGAGGUGGCUGGUGCCUGUGAUCGUGAAACCCGAAGGCAUGAAUGAAAUAACAGUGCUCAAAUGCCUGUUUCUAACAAAAUAACAAACUGUAGAGAGGAGUGUUACUGCUGAAUGUGGCGUUUCUUAGGAAGGCAGUGAUAUUCUGGAGGGACACGGCUCAUAUGAGCGUUUUGUGUGUCUUUUACUAGCGCUGUACACCAUCAGGUUAAAAUAUCUUGUUACUACCGAGAAACAAAGUAACUCAGUCUUGUUUGUUGAAUGAUAUAAAUACUAUAUUCAGUAUUUUUACAGAAAUGUGAAAGAGAACUGGCCUUUGAGCAGAUAAAAUGCUCUUUUAAUAUAAACUGGGAAGAUUCUGAAAUGCAGUGCAAUGGAAGCAGAAAUCACAAGGGUGAUAAAGGGUCACUUCUGGAGCAAUAAUCAAAUAUUGCAGCAUGCACAUCAUGUUUUUCGUAACAAUUUAAAUCAAAGAACAAGAGGUAACAAAAUGAGACUUUUUUAAAAAAAAAAAAAGGAGAAAAUGUUCUUUCAGAUGGCUUUAUUAGUCCAGUUUAUAGGAAUAUAGAAUGUGAUGGUGCCUUGCAGACAUGUUUUGCUGGUUGCAUUAGGAUUUUUGAUAUAUCAGUCUUGCGCGUUAGCUCGGACUGUUCCUAAAGGCGCGUUGCCCUUACCGCCUUACCGAGACAAACGUGCUGGAAGCUGUGAGGCCGUUAGUCUUCGCACUCUGCAUCAAAACAUUAAGCAAUUUUAAAUAAAAUGGGCUUGUACUGAAUGAAGAGGACUAGAAAUUAAUGAUCCCUGCUGAAUGGCCUGUGCCUCCCAGCAGUGAAGAACUGGUGAAGAACAUCAGAAACGGCAAAUACGCAGCCCAUGCAACCCGGAGGCACGAGGCUCAGCGAAGGUGCUGUUGGGUCCUUUCCUUCCCCGCUGCUGCGACGAGCAAAAUCCCGGUGCGGUGCUGGUGCAGGUGCAGCAGCCGUGGGAGCUCAGCUCUGCCUGCCUCGCCCUCCUUGCGCCUCGGGGCGGAUUAGCUUGCCUGCAGCGCAUGCGUCCGUCUUGCUGCAGCGGAGCUGCGUGCAGACGUGUUACCUGGCAAAGGCGCGCUGCGGCGUACGCUGCUCUUUGACUGAGAGAGACGGGAGGGAUGGUAGGAGGAACGGCGUUUGAGACAAAAUUUUACUGCUCUGGCCCACUAGUAUCUUCUGCUAUACUAAAUUUCUUCAGAGUCAUUACACCUAGCCACAAAAAGCUAUUAAUGUGAUGAAUUACUAUAACUUGACUAAGUAGUAAGUAGUAGAUUUGCAAGCUUUCAGCAAUUUUUGGCAUGGUUAACCUCUCUGUUGAUGGAGCAAAAUGCAAAUGCAGACACUUACAAACUGGCUGUUCAGUGGUAUUUGCUUCCCAGCCUUUCUGUUGAUACUGCCUGCGCAGUAUUUGUGCAAAUCUGCGACUGGGCUAAGAGAACUUCAGACAAACGGCGCAGUGCUUGAAGACUUAGCAAUGAAGGUAGGGCAAGCAGUGUUAAAAUACUGGUGGUUUCCUGUUUCUUCUGCGCAGCAGGGGCAAUUCAAAGACUUGGCAAAACGUCUGUGCCGCAAGCAGGAGAAGGGCAGAGGAGAAUGCCCUGAGAAAACCACGCAGCGCCUACUUUAAUUGUGAUCGGAAAAAUCAUCAAGAUAACCUAGAUCUUGGUAAUCGCUUGUGUUGUAACUUCAGAAUAAAAGAUCAAAACUACUCUUGCAUGUUCUCUGUUGGCAGGUGCUUAAUUUGCUAACUUGAGUAAUGCUUCCUAUUUGUGAUGCUGAGAACUGAAAAAGCUAAGCUUAAAAAUGAUUCUAAUUCUUAAGUGUCCAGAUUUGAGUUAUAAGGACUGAUGAUAAAUGACUGCUCAGAUCAAGCAAAGAGGCUGAUUAUGUGCUGAUUGCUUGGCUGCUUCUGGGGUGAGAAGAAGCUGGAGCAGCUGUGCAAAUGCAGCUUUUGUGGAAGUAAAAGACACAAUACUGAGUUAUGGCAAAAGGAUGCCAAAAGUACUUUUUAAUCUGAAAAAUAGUAUUUCUAAUAGGGUUAAAGGUGACUUAAACUUGUAAAUUUUAGUUCAGUACAGAAUUCUGCACUCUUCAGCAUUCUUAAAAUUUAGGAAGAAAAAAAUACUUCAGCUGAGUACUUCUUGAAGAGUUGGGCUUUUCUUCAUUAGGUGGGGUUACAUGCUGAAACCAACUGCUCCAUUAAGGGAUACUUUGCAGUAGUGUUCAAUAUAAAAAAGAUCUUAGAAUUGUGUUCCUUCUAAAAUGUAAAUAUCACAGAAAAGCAAAGCUCCCCUUUCUGAAAAUAAUGCUUUCUAAUCUAACUUCUUAGAUGCUCUGACAGCGGUGUUUAUAAACCUGCCUGUAGCUCUGCAGUCCUCUGGAUAUUGUUAUCCUCAUUCUGCGAAGAGGUAAAACGAGGCAAGAUCCAGUCGGGCGACUACUGCAGAGAAGAGACUCCUGCUCCGUCCUCGCCAGCUGCUAAGCAGACAACACUUUUACCCUGGCUUUGAAAUGAAGAGCUGCUCUUCUGGGUGUCUUCACUGCGGUGCUCGCGCAGGGGUCUCGGGGCGAUGCACGGAUGGGGCGCGUUGCCUGGGCUGCGGCUGGAUGAGCACACCUGACUGCGGUCUACGUGAUGAGUGACUGAUUGCAAAGGGUAAUUAGGUAAUGCAGUUAGGAGCAGGGAACACUAAGGCAGUUUGCAAGGCAGAGCUUGAAACUGCAACAUCAUACUGUUCUAAUGUCUUCUUUUAUAUGCACACACUGAGAAAAAAGAAGAUGCAUAGAAAAGAAUUUCAAGGCCUGCCUUGCAAAUAUAUUUAUACACACACAUAUAUAUUGUGUGUGUGUGUGUGAGAGAGAGAUAUAAAAAUUUCUAGGGCUUCGCCAGGCCCCUGCACUUGUUUUCCCUUCCCGAUCAGUUGGAGAGUUCUUCCGAUAGUCGUUUUCUUCCUCCUUUUGCUUGCCUGUCACUGCACGUUCUUUCCCAGGUUCCUGGAUGCUUUCUUCAACCUGCUCCUUAGUCACGAGCCUCUCAAGAGCCUGUUGAGUUCCCUGAUUCAUUUUUAGGGCUUUUCCGGAGUUCCUCAGGUGCCUGGAAUAGGAAACAGAGGUCCACAGCCCCUCCCCGCGCCGUCCCCUCGGCAGCCCUUUGCAGGCAGAGGCGAACCCUGCUCCUUGCGGGGAGGGAGCCCUCGCUGCACGGCCGAGUUCAGAGACUGGCAAAUAGGAUCAUCGUCCCCGGAAUCCGCGUUGAGGAGCCUCUUCCCUUUUCCUGUCAGGGGGAGUUAGAACAAGACUUGAAAGCAGAUGUCAGGAGGACCUGGAACUGGAAUGCUUAGUGUAAAGUGGCUAUUAACUGAUCGCCUCGUAGUGCCGCGCUGUGCCUCAGUCAUGUGCUUAUAAGGUUUACUAGAGGAAAUCCUCCUCCCGAACCAGCACAAUGGCUCUUGAGCUCCCCGGGCCAGUGGCAGCCAGCAAAAACAAACACGAUCCCGUUACAGUGCGCUUCUGCAGAGGCCUCACUUGGAAAGCUUACGUGGGAGGUUCAGACUACCACAAAAAAAUUAAAUCUAAAGAGCUGUUCUAAGGAGAAAGGCAAGGUGUGCCUCCAGCGCCCUCGGGGGCACGGACGGCUCCCACCCGGCACCAGGGAGCGGCUGGAGAUGCUGCCCGACGCGAGGGAAGCUCCCAGCACGCGCCCCGAUGCAGGAUCGUGCCUCUUCUUAGGAAGGCUGCUAACGGAGAGCUUCUUAUUUUUAUCUGGUUUACUCAAAAACCGACCUUCAAGAAUUAUGGGAAAAGUAUUCAUAUCGUCUCUGCUCUCAUAAUGGGUUCCUAGAUUUUCCACUUUGGAGUCUCAGAAACGCUACUGCAUUCACUGAUUUUUGACUUGAUACAAGCCGAAAUUAGGCAUACCUGCUUAAAAAUUGUUGAUAAAACUUAGGCUCUUCACGGAAAAACUUUAAGGAUGGAGACAAGAUGUUGUGUGACCGUUUUAAGAGACUUGCUUGACAUCUAAUGCUAGGUAAAUUAUCUUCGUAAGAUAUAACUUUACGCUUUAAUGACAGACCUCCAUCGAUAAGCCAAGUCCAUUGACUCCCUGUUAAAGCAAACUUCCACUCGUCCUGGGGGCCCGGUGCUGCUAAAUAAGCAAAGGAGAAACUUCUACCUUGCAUUUAAACUCUGCCCAUGGCUGCGGCUUUAAGUUAGUUAUGUGCAGAGCCUGCAGCCGGGAGGUGGGAGAAGGCUAAGGAGCGCUGCUCUCCCAAAGGCUUCGUUCGCCGGGUGACCGACCUGGAGAAAACAGCCCUGAAACGGCGGCUGGUGUCUCCAAGAAGCCAAAGUUCUGCUUUGAGGAUCAGCAGAGUACCCAAGACAGGUCUGUUUGCGCGUGCUUGUUUCCAGAGUGAAGUGUUUCUUACCCUUAGCACCCUUUGGUACUUUGCAAAACGCACUUUUGAGGCGAGUAGAUGGUCUGCAGGCAGCAGAAAGCCGGCCGUCCCGAGGGGAGCGUUGAAGCCGAAAGCCGGGGCCCUGGAAGCAGAGGUGCUGCUGCAACGCAGCCGGGCUCCGGCACCCACGGCCCAGGGCUGGGGGUGAGUUUAGAGGCGGCACUCGGAGGUGUCACCCCCCGGGCGCUGCUGGAGUCCCCUGCCGUGCGCAGCCUAGUUCAUUUUUCCAGAAACCUUCUUUUUAUGACGUGCUUUUCUGCUUACUGCCUUAAUGCGAAGGGUGCAACUUUAAAUGCCGAGUUAGAAACUCCAGCUUAUGUUUAAGGAGUAGGGUAAUGAUUAAGCCGAGGCUGCGGGGAUCCUGCCCUGUUCUUGGCUUGUAAGGACGGCGCUGACCGGUCCGCGCCCGGGCGAGCGCUGCUCUGGCUUUAUCGGAGCGGGUGCGGGAAGGGCCGUGCCCUGGAGCAGGCGUUCCCAGGCCCAGGUCGUUAGUCCGUGCCGUUUAAGAGCAGCACGACUGCUUCUGCAGACUGUUGGGGCGCAGAAAAAUAACUAAUGGCACUUUGGGCUAGCGUCAAAGUAAGACGACGGUGUCUUCUCUGCCCGCUGUGGUCUGGGUCUGUCGCUGCGUUUUGGCCAAGUGGUGGGUGUGUGAGCCCCUCCGUAGAUCCCCUGCGAUUUGUGAUUACAGAAAAAUCCUGUAACUUGUAUUUUGACUUGGUUGGAAUCAGAUCCUAGGUAAGAGGCAGACAAAGUAAUAAUUCUUUUUCUCCUUUUUUUCUUUGAUUUGAUAACUUCUUUUAAUAUAUUCAUGAAAGGAUGGGUCUGAGCAUGUGCGAAUGAGAGCUUUUUGAAGGGGAAAUUCAAUGGUCUUCCCUGCCUGCGUUUUAAAAAAGCAAAAACAAAAAACCUUGAAUGGACUGAAAUCAUAUCUUCUUAAAAGCAGAUGCUUUUGUUGUUUUGCUAGCCUGAUUGAGUGGAAUGGUUUCUUCGUUCUCUGAGCCGUUUUCAAGCUGAAACGUAGGGACUGGGGCUUCUGGCAGCGCUCAGAGCCAUGCUGCGGUCAGUGGAGCUCUGUGCUUGGAAUAUCUGAAAAGAGUGCCCCUGUGAAAAGGGGUGCCCGAUCCCCUCCUCCUCCUCAAAAAAUAAAUAAAUAAAAAUAAAAGAAAA
Molecule: long non-coding RNA, 6551 nt
Organism: Dromaius novaehollandiae (emu)
Lineage: Eukaryota; Metazoa; Chordata; Aves; Casuariiformes; Dromaiidae
Exons: 8
Source: RefSeq, a predicted model, not a curated record